Molecule: long non-coding RNA, 1257 nt
Organism: Helianthus annuus (common sunflower)
Lineage: Eukaryota; Viridiplantae; Streptophyta; Magnoliopsida; Asterales; Asteraceae
Exons: 8
Source: RefSeq, a predicted model, not a curated record
AAGAUCAAUUUUACAAAGAAAAACUUCCUAAUUCCAUUCCAUUCCAUUCCAUGAAACGAACGCUACCUAAAUCUCUGUCACUUAUGACUUUGAAGAUUUCAAGCUGGCCGAUUUCAUAUAUUGAUUUCAUAUGGAUCGUGACCAUUUCUUUUGGAUCAUCGGACGACGACUCGGGCGAUUCCUGAGGCUGAAGACAACAACGGCAAGAGGCACUCCAGCGGCGCGAUUAGGGUUUCGCUGUGAACCCUAACAACAGUGGCAGCGGCGCAUUUUAUUCUUGAAGAUUUGAUUUUUUCCAAUGUAUCAAACCGUUUGUGUUCUUCUAAUCCGUCUCUUGCUCUAAUUGUUUAUUUGUUUUUUUAUUUUCUUCAGGUGCAAUCCAAGUUAAGUUUGUGAAAUUUUAGUCAUAAAAUUAAACAUCAAUUUUGUUAUUAGAGAAGGCUUGCAUUUGGCUUUAUUUCAUGUAUGGAAACAAGCUUUGUGAUGUCAAAGUUCCUUAUCUGAUUCACCAUACAUAUACUAUUUGAAGUGAAAAGCUCCACCUUCAAGAUCGUUCAUAGCAUUCAAAACCUGGUAAGGACCGACAUUGGGUUCAGAUGACUGUGGUAUUGGGCUUUCUCGGCUUCAAUGACGCAGAUACUAGAGAGGCUGCCAGCAUUUGGUGAAUUUAGAUAAUUUAUUUUGUGGACAAAGCCAUCCCGGAAGAACCGAUAGAGUAUAUUUGAAGGUUUUGACUGCGUUGGCAGCUGCUGUGAUCACAUUUGGUUGUGAUAUGUCUGCUUUGGCGGAUCUGAAUAAGUUUGAGGCGAAUUUAUUGGUGAAUUCGGUAUUGGAUUGGCUGCUUAGUUCGGUUCUGCUGCUCUCAGCAGAUGCAGAAGGAACAAAGAACCUAAGUAAUGAUGCGAUUGGGGGUCUUGCCGCUGCUGUACAAAAAUAUAACAUGAGGUCAAAGUAGAGAGGCUGCAAAGAGUUGGUGAUGUUUCCAGCAGGUGACAUAAUGUGAAUCAGCGAUUGAAAUAGAAGUGAACACAUGACUAUGAUCAACCAAUCGAAUGGAUCACGAUCAAAGAAGGAAUUUCAAGACAGUGUUAUGAAAGCUAAGGAUCCGAACGAAGAGAUGAUCAAGAUACGAAAAGAAAUAGUCGAUUUCAAUGUAAUGCCUCAUUGAAUAUAUUUUGUUACAGUCUUGAGAAUUUGCCAUAUCAUAUUGGAAAUUUUUAAUCAUUAUGCAUUUAUUUUGAUAUCAUUCAAUGGUCA